RNAcentral lists this ribosomal RNA (408 nucleotides) under uncultured bacterium. RNAcentral's name for it is "partial 16S ribosomal RNA". It matches the Rfam family "Bacterial small subunit ribosomal RNA", at positions 28 to 526 of the family's 1533-position model. The record is from RNAcentral.
GACGAACGCUGGCGGCGUGCUUAACACAUGCAAGUCGAACGAAGUGGCGAACGGGUGAGUAACGCGUAAUCAACCUGCACUUCAGAGGGGGACAACAGUUGGAAACGACUGCUAAUACCGCAUACUGAAGGAGGGGACUGCGUCUGAUUAGUUAGUUGGAGGGGUAACGGCCCACCAAGGCGAUGAUCAGUAGCCGGACUGAAGGGGGGAACGGCCAACUUGGGACUGGGACACGGCCCAGACUCCUACGGGAGGCAACAGUGGGGAAUCUUCCGCAAUGGACGAAAGUCUGAAGGGGCAACGCCGCGUGAAUGAUGACGGCCUUCGGGUUGUAAAGCUCUGUUAAUCGGGACGCGGUACCGAAAUAGAAAGCCACGGCUAACUACGUGCCAGCAGCCGCGGUAAUUC